AACGAACGCUGGCGGCAGGCCUAACACAUGCAAGUCGAACGCUGUAGCAAUACAGAGUGGCAGACGGGUGAGUAACGCGUGGGAACGUGCCCUUUGGUUCGGAAUAACCCAGGGAAACUUGGGCUAAUACCGGAUACGUCCGUAAGGAGAAAGAUUUAUCGCCAAAGGAUCGGCCCGCGUCGGAUUAGCUAGUUGGUGAGGUAAAGGCUCACCAAGGCGACGAUCCGUAGCUGGUCUGAGAGGAUGACCAGCCACACUGGGACUGAGACACGGCCCAGACUCCUACGGGAGGCAGCAGUGAGGAAUAUUGGACAAUGGGCGCAAGCCUGAUCCAGCCAUGCCGCGUGAGUGAAGAAGGCCUUAGGGUUGUAAAGCUCUUUCAGCGGGGAAGAUAAUGACGGUACCCGCAGAAGAAGCCCCGGCUAACUCCGUGCCAGCAGCCGCAGUAAU
RNAcentral lists this ribosomal RNA (450 nucleotides) under uncultured bacterium. Its description in RNAcentral is "bacterial SSU rRNA". It matches the Rfam family "Bacterial small subunit ribosomal RNA", at positions 29 to 524 of the family's 1533-position model. The record is from RNAcentral.